RNAcentral lists this small RNA (927 nucleotides) under Arabidopsis thaliana (thale cress). RNAcentral describes it as "ATSL262050". The record is from RNAcentral. Lineage: Eukaryota; Viridiplantae; Streptophyta; Magnoliopsida; Brassicales; Brassicaceae.
AUCAUCCGGAGGUUUUUCAUACCACCUAUCCACCACAAUAGCCCAUUCACUGAACGUUUGGACACCUUUUUCUAGCACUUCUUCCAGAUCGUGUUUCGAAUCAAAGAUGAAUUGGAAACGCUCGCUAGUUAGAGCCACACCUUUGACUCUUCCUUCCUUCUCCCAUUUUCUGGGCAUAUUCCUAAUCAGAUGCUUCAUAGGUUGACAAGCAGGAUUGAGGACUCUUCCAAUUAAGCUUAACUUAUUUCUUUCACAUGACAUGUACUCCGACAGAUCCGGCAUGUCAAAGGGCUCAUCUUUUUCCUCCAGUGACAUUUCCAUCAGCGCUCUAUCCAUAGCCGACGACAUCACUUGAACCGAAGGGAACUGAGAACAACUUAUUUUUCGAACUCGAGAGCAACUAGAACCGGCAAAAAAUAUAGCACAAACUUGACUGAGAAAUCGAAAACUAGGGAGGGUAGCAGUGAAAAGCGGCUGAGGGAAAGAGGGUUAUCCGGUUCUAAGCUCUAUUCAAACCUAAUGAAAGACACUUAGGGAGAAAGCGGGUUCUAAGCCCAAAAGAGGGAUUCUUUUGACGAAUUGACCAGGUGGUUCUCCAUAGUAAUUCUGAAUUGUUUUAGAAAAAGAGUUUGAUACAGGGGCUAUAUAUUUGUGUGUAUGUAAGUAAAAUUUCCAAUCAUUGCAUUUAUAAAUAUUGAUUACAAACACAUGAUAUUAAUUACUAGUAGUAAAUGAUUACUCCUUGUGUAAGUACUAGUCUUGAAGGUAAGAAGAGUAUUAUUAAUUAUGGUCUUGUAUCAACGAUUCAAUUUCUCUAGUCAUUUUUGUAGGUUUGUUAUCGCAGCUUUAUCGUAAUAACAUAUAAUGUAAGAGAACACGCUUAUUUUGUGGUGCUCUCGUAUGAGUGAUCGAUCUCACAUGUUGGUU